GUCCCUGAUGUGUAAUGGGUAGCGCGUUGGACUUCUAAUCCAAAGGGUGUGGGUUCGAAUCCCACCUGGAAUG
This is a non-coding RNA of Trichonephila clavipes, 73 nucleotides long. The record is from the annotation of a GenBank genome assembly. Lineage: Eukaryota; Metazoa; Arthropoda; Arachnida; Araneae; Nephilidae.